GACUCCAUGGCCCAAUGGAUAAGGUGCUGGUCCGAAACCAUAGAUUCAGGGUUCGAUCCCCAGUGGAGUCG
This 71-nucleotide transfer RNA is filed under the name Ipomoea nil (Japanese morning glory). It matches the Rfam family "tRNA". From Rfam's summary of the family: Transfer RNA (tRNA) molecules are approximately 80 nucleotides in length. Their secondary structure includes four short double-helical elements and three loops (D, anti-codon, and T loops). The record is from Rfam by way of RNAcentral. Lineage: Eukaryota; Viridiplantae; Streptophyta; Magnoliopsida; Solanales; Convolvulaceae.